This 75-nucleotide transfer RNA is filed under the name Staphylococcus epidermidis. RNAcentral describes it as "tRNA-Pro(tgg)". It matches the Rfam family "tRNA". Rfam says of the family: Transfer RNA (tRNA) molecules are approximately 80 nucleotides in length. Their secondary structure includes four short double-helical elements and three loops (D, anti-codon, and T loops). Lineage: Bacteria; Bacillati; Bacillota; Bacilli; Caryophanales; Staphylococcaceae. The record is from RNAcentral.
CGGGAAGUAGCUCAGCUUGGUAGAGCACUUGGUUUGGGACCAAGGGGCCGCAGGUUCGAAUCCUGUCUUCCCGAC